UCCGGUAUGGUCUAGUGGUUAGGAUACCUGGCUCUCACCCCGGAGGCCCGGGUUCGAUUCCCGGUGUCGGAA
This 72-nucleotide transfer RNA is filed under the name Trichonephila inaurata madagascariensis. It matches the Rfam family "tRNA". Rfam says of the family: Transfer RNA (tRNA) molecules are approximately 80 nucleotides in length. Their secondary structure includes four short double-helical elements and three loops (D, anti-codon, and T loops). Lineage: Eukaryota; Metazoa; Arthropoda; Arachnida; Araneae; Nephilidae. The record is from Rfam by way of RNAcentral.